UAGAGUUUGAUCAUGGCUCAGAUUGAACGUUGGCGGCAGGCCUAAUACAUGCAAGUCGAGCGGAAACGAUGGGAGCUUGCUCCCAGGCGUCGAGCGGCGGACGGGUGAGUAACGCGUAGGAAUCUACCCAGUAGCGGGGGAUAGCCCGAGGAAACUCGGAUUAAUACCGCAUACGCCCCACGGGGGAAAGGCCGGGAUCUUCGGACCGGUCACUAUUGGAGGAGCCUGCGUAGGAUUAGCUUGUUGGUGAGGUAAAGGCUCACCAAGGCUACGAUCCUUAGCUGGUCUGAGAGGACGAUCAGCCACACUGGAACUGAGACACGGUCCAGACUCCUACGGGAGGCAGCAGUAGGGAAUAUUGUGCAAUGGGCGAAAGCCUGACACAGCCAUGCCGCGUGUGUGAAGAAGGCCCUAGGGUUGUAAAGCACUUUCAGUAGGGAGGAAUUAGUAGGGUUAAUAACUCUGCGAAAUGACGUUACCUACAGAAGAAGCACCGGCAAACUCCGUGCCAGCAGCCGCGGUAAUACGGAGGGUGCGAACGUUAAUCGGAAUUACUGGGCGUAAAGCGCGCGUAGGUGGUUUAUUAAGUGGGAUGUGAAAGCCCCGGGCUUAACCUGGGAACUGCAUUCCAAACUGAUGAACUAGAGUACUGUAGAGGGGGGUAGACUUUCA
This 672-nucleotide ribosomal RNA is filed under the name uncultured Vibrionaceae bacterium. RNAcentral describes it as "bacterial SSU rRNA". It matches the Rfam family "Bacterial small subunit ribosomal RNA", at positions 1 to 671 of the family's 1533-position model. Lineage: Bacteria; Pseudomonadati; Pseudomonadota; Gammaproteobacteria; Vibrionales; Vibrionaceae. The record is from RNAcentral.